RNAcentral lists this non-coding RNA (28 nucleotides) under Mus musculus (house mouse). Lineage: Eukaryota; Metazoa; Chordata; Mammalia; Rodentia; Muridae. The record is from RNAcentral.
UAUAGCUUUACAAGGUAAGCCUGGUCUU